AACGUAGGUCACAAGCGUUGUCCGGAAUUACUGGGUGUAAAGGGAGCGCAGGCGGGAAGACAAGUUGGAAGUGAAAUCCAUGGGCUUAACCCAUGAACUGCUUUCAAAACUGUUUUUCUUGAGUAGUGCAGAGGUAGGCGGAAUUCCCGGUGUAGCGGUGGAAUGCGUAGAUAUCGGGAGGAACACCAGUGGCGAAGGCGGCCUACUGGGCACCAACUGACGCUGAGGCUCGAAAGUGUGGGUAGCAAACAGG
RNAcentral lists this ribosomal RNA (253 nucleotides) under Faecalibacterium prausnitzii. Its description in RNAcentral is "partial 16S ribosomal RNA". It matches the Rfam family "Bacterial small subunit ribosomal RNA", at positions 524 to 776 of the family's 1533-position model. Lineage: Bacteria; Bacillati; Bacillota; Clostridia; Eubacteriales; Oscillospiraceae. The record is from RNAcentral. RNAcentral also lists the same sequence under 1 other name.